UCGCAACUCUGUCACCGGAUCAGUUCCAAGGCCUGUCCAAAUUGAGAGACCUGGCUGUUUAUGAAAACAAUAUUCAGUACCUGCCGCGUGGAGUUUUUAAAGGCUUAACAAACCUGCAGUCUAUGAGCUUUUAUUUCAACAAAAUCCGCACAGUGAGCAACGAGCAAUUCAAAGACAUCGCGCAAAGUAUUCGAUUCC
This is a long non-coding RNA of Stylophora pistillata, 198 nucleotides long. The record is from RefSeq and is a predicted model, not a curated record. Lineage: Eukaryota; Metazoa; Cnidaria; Anthozoa; Scleractinia; Pocilloporidae.